This 292-nucleotide ribosomal RNA is filed under the name uncultured bacterium. Its description in RNAcentral is "partial 16S ribosomal RNA". The record is from RNAcentral. RNAcentral also lists the same sequence under 2 other names.
GGACUACUGGGGUUUCUAAUCCCGUUUGCUCCCCUAGCUUUCGCGCCUCAGCGUCAGAAGAGGUCCAGCACGUCGCUUUCGCCACCGGCGUUCCUUCUGAUAUCAACGCAUUUCACCGCUCCACCAGAAGUUCCACAUGCCCCUACCUCCCUCGAGCUUAUCAGUAUCAAGGGCACUUUUCCGGUUAAGCCGAAAGAUUUCACCCCUGACUUGAUAAGCCGCCUACGCGCCCUUUAAGCCCAGUGAUUCCGAACAACGUUCGCUCGGUUCGUCUUACCGCGGCUGCUGGCAC